CAGUAGCCGCGGGAAAACAGAGGGUGCAAGCGUUAAUCGGAAUUACUGGGCGUAAAGCGCGCGUAGGUGGUUUGUUAAGUUGGAUGUGAAAUCCCCGGGCUCAACCUGGGAACUGCAUCCAAAACUGGCAAGCUAGAGUAUGGUAGAGGGUGGUGGAAUUUCCUGUGUAGCGGUGAAAUGCGUAGAUAUAGGAAGGAACACCAGUGGCGAAGGCGACCACCUGGACUGAUACUGACACUGAGGUGCGAAAGCGUGGGGAGCAAACAGGAUUAGAUACCCGGGUAGUCCCUGUCUCUUAUAA
RNAcentral lists this ribosomal RNA (301 nucleotides) under uncultured bacterium. RNAcentral describes it as "partial 16S ribosomal RNA". It matches the Rfam family "Bacterial small subunit ribosomal RNA", at positions 509 to 809 of the family's 1533-position model. The record is from RNAcentral.